This 443-nucleotide long non-coding RNA is filed under the name Olea europaea subsp. europaea. The record is from RNAcentral. Lineage: Eukaryota; Viridiplantae; Streptophyta; Magnoliopsida; Lamiales; Oleaceae.
UGGCAGUGUGUUAGUUUGUUGGCAGUGGAAUACUGUGCUUGAGUGAAAAAAAUGACGAGAGUUGCUGCAGAAUGACUUGUGUGUAUAAAUUGAUUUUGUAGACGAAGUUUUACCCAAGUUUCGCUCUGAUACCAAUUUGAUGUAGGGUGAAUGAUUCAACAGCUAAAACAAGAAGAGAUGGUAGAAAGGGAAAGAGGAAGGAGAACAGAGACAGUGAGCAGAGAGGCAAACGGCUGAAGCCAACGUUAUAAUUUAAUCAAAAUUCAUCAACUGAGAAAUUACAUACCAAUGAUAGGUUUAAAUAAUGAAAACCUAGAAAUAUAGGGCCAAGCCCAUUAUUCAAGUCCUAAUUAAAAUACGUAAACUUAAAUAAAAGUCCAACUGAAACAAUAAUAAAAGUCCAACUAAAAUACUGAAACAAUAAUAAAAGUCCAACUAUAAAG